UACGUAGGGGGCAAGCGUUGUCCGGAUUUAUUGGGCGUAAAGAGCGUGUAGGCGGCCAUGCAGGUCAGCUGUGAAAACCCGAGGCUCAACCUCGAGACGUCGGUUGAAACCGUAUGGCUAGAGUCCGGAAGAGGAGAAUGGAAUUCCCGGUGUAGCGGUGAAAUGCGCAGAUAUCGGGAAGAACACCCGUGGCGAAGGCGGCUCACUGGCCCGAUACUGACGCUGAGGCACGAAAGCGUGGGGAGCGAACAGG
Molecule: ribosomal RNA, 253 nt
Filed under: uncultured bacterium
Lineage: Bacteria
Description: partial 16S ribosomal RNA
Rfam family: Bacterial small subunit ribosomal RNA
Source: RNAcentral